RNAcentral lists this ribosomal RNA (425 nucleotides) under uncultured bacterium. Its description in RNAcentral is "bacterial SSU rRNA". It matches the Rfam family "Bacterial small subunit ribosomal RNA", at positions 356 to 773 of the family's 1533-position model. The record is from RNAcentral.
GGGGAAUUUUGGACAAUGGGGGAAACCCUGAUCCAGCCAUGCCGCGUGAGUGAAGAAGGCCUUCGGGUUGUAAAGCUCUUUCGGACGGAAAGAAAUCGCUUCGACUAAUACUCGGAGUGGAUGACGGUACCGUAAGAAGAAGCACCGGCUAACUACGUGCCAGCAGCCGCGGUAAUACGUAGGGUGCGAGCGUUAAUCGGAAUUACUGGGCGUAAAGCGUGCGCAGGCGGUUUGCUAAGACAGGUGUGAAAUCCCCGGGCUUAACCUGGGAACUGCGCUUGUGACUGGCAGGCUAGAGUACGGCAGAGGGGGGUGGAAUUCCACGUGUAGCAGUGAAAUGCGUAGAGAUGUGGAGGAACACCGAUGGCGAAGGCAGCCCCCUGGGCCUGUACUGACGCUCAUGCACGAAAGCGUGGGGAGCAAAC